CACCACCAACCAAGCAGGAUAAAACAAUAAAGCUAACAAAAAGAUAAAAGUGAUACACAUAUCUACUCUCACCCCCUCCCCCAAACUUAUUACAGAACAUAAGUUCGAAAAUAAGUUUGGAGGGAUGAUGAUAUGUGUGUCACUACUCACAGAAAAACAUGCUCCAUGGUGGUGGUAUGAACAAAGCGCGAGUUCCCGCAUCUUCCAAGCUCAACACUGCACUAAAACCCCC
RNAcentral lists this long non-coding RNA (232 nucleotides) under Salvia miltiorrhiza (redroot sage). RNAcentral's name for it is "long non-coding RNA (SMIL_LNC012793)". The record is from RNAcentral. Lineage: Eukaryota; Viridiplantae; Streptophyta; Magnoliopsida; Lamiales; Lamiaceae.